AACGAACGCUGGCGGCAUGCCUAACACAUGCAAGUCGAACGAGACCGUCGGGUCUAGUGGCGCACGGGUGCGUAACGCGUGGGAACCUUCCCUUAGGUUCGGAAUAACUCCCCGAAAGGGGUGCUAAUACCGGAUAAUGUCUUCGGACCAAAGAUGUAUCGCCUUUGGAUGGGCCCGCGUUGGAUUAGCUAGUUGGUAGGGUAAAAGCCUACCAAGGCGACGAUCCAUAGCUGGUCUGAGAGGAUGAUCAGCCACACUGGGACUGAGACACGGCCCAGACUCCUACGGGAGGCAGAAGUGGGGAAUAUUGGACGAUGGGCGAGAGACUGAUCCAGCAAGGCCGCGUGAGUGAUGAAGGCCUGAGGGUUGUAAAGCUCUUUUACCCGGGAUGAUAAUGACAGUACCGGGAGAAUAAGCGCCGGCUAACUACGUG
This 433-nucleotide ribosomal RNA is filed under the name uncultured bacterium. RNAcentral's name for it is "partial 16S ribosomal RNA". It matches the Rfam family "Bacterial small subunit ribosomal RNA", at positions 29 to 507 of the family's 1533-position model. The record is from RNAcentral.